Molecule: unclassified non-coding RNA, 1054 nt
Filed under: Hevea brasiliensis (rubber tree)
Lineage: Eukaryota; Viridiplantae; Streptophyta; Magnoliopsida; Malpighiales; Euphorbiaceae
Source: RNAcentral
ACACGGUAACAAAUGGAAGAAAAUAGCAGCUGAAGUACCAGGUCGAACUGCUAAAAGAUUAGGAAAGUGGUGGGAAGUUUUCAAAGAGAAGCAACAGAGAGAGCAGAAAGAAAACAACAAGGUUGUUGAUCCAGUAGACGAGGGAAAAUACGAUCACAUUCUCGAAACCUUUGCAGAAAAGAUUGUGAAAGAAAGGAGUGUCCCAGGUUUACUUAUGGCUACUUCUAAUGGAGGUUUCCUCCACGCCGAUGCCUCAACUCCUACGCCACAAACUCUUCUUCCUCCGUGGCUUUCUAAUUCUUCUGCACCUUCAACUGUUAGAUCAUCAUCUCCAUCUGUGACUUUAAGUCUCUCCCCCUCUACUGUGCCGCCUACACCUACACCUGGCAUUCCGUGGCUACAGACAGAUAGAGGACCUGAUAAUGCGCCUCUCAUCUUGAGCAGUUUUCCACAUCAUAGUGUUGCUCCUUGUGGAGAAAAUCCUUUUAUUACUGAACUUGCGGAAUGCUGCAAGGAUUUAGACGAAGGGCAUCGUACUUGGACUGCACAUAAGAAGGAAGCAGCUUGGAGGUUAAGGAGGGUUGAAUUGCAACUAGAAUCUGAAAAAGCAAGCAAAGUUAGGGAGAAAAUGGAGGAAAUUGAAGCAAAAAUGAAAGCGCUGAGGGAAGAACAGAAAGCAACUCUAGACAGAAUUGAAGCAGAAUACAAGGAGCAACUAGCAGGCUUGAGGAGGGAUGCAGAAGCAAAAGAGCAGAAAUUGGCAGAGCAAUGGACAUCCAAACACAUGCGCCUUGCUAAGUUUCUUGAGCAGAUGGGAUGCCAAUCAAGACUUGCUGAACCUAAUGGCGGCCGCUAAAGCAAAGCUUGCAAGCUAAGCCAAGAAUUCUUUUGUGUUUCCUUGCUCCUUUAGACGGUUCUUUCUACUUGCCGCGACUUUUCUUACUGUCAACUUUUUGUUUGAUCAUCUUCUAUUUGGUUUUCUAUGUUUUCCUCUAUGCAUGAUAUGAUAAUUUUAUAAUAGCCUGCAACUUGUAUUUUUGUUAUCUGCAAAGGA